CCUACGGGUGGCUGCAGUGAGGAAUAUUGGUCAAUGGGCGUAAGCCUGAACCAGCCAAGUCGCGUGAGGGAAGAAGGCUCUAUGGAUCGUAAACCUCUUUUAUAAGGGAGUAAAGUGCGGGUCGUGUCCCGCUUUGUGUGUACCUUAAGAAUAAGCAUCGGCUAACUCCGUGCCAGCAGCCGCGGUAAUACGGAGGAUCCGAGCGUUAUCCGGAUUUAUUGGGUUUAAAUGGUGCGUAGGCGGCGUUUAACGCAGAGGUGAAAGUCUCGGGGUCAACCAUCGAUUUGCCGUUGAAACUGUGGGGCUUGAGUGUGUGAGGGGUAGGCGGAAUGAGUGGUGUAGCGGUGAAAUGCUUAGAUAUCACGCAGAACCCCGAUAGCGAAGGCAGCCUGCCGGGGCAUGACUGACGCUGAUGCACGAAAGCGUGGGGAUCAAACAGGAUUAGAUACCCCUGUAGUC
RNAcentral lists this ribosomal RNA (459 nucleotides) under uncultured bacterium. RNAcentral's name for it is "partial 16S ribosomal RNA". It matches the Rfam family "Bacterial small subunit ribosomal RNA", at positions 338 to 795 of the family's 1533-position model. The record is from RNAcentral.